CGUUGAUCGCGUUCAGUGAACUCAUUCUCUAUUGAGCACCUACCGUACUUGUCUUGAUGUCACACACACCAAUGACUCGAGACUUAUCACUCUCCCUGAGAGAAGACAUAGUACGUACUGAUCUUAACGGACUGUCAAUGCCCAAUUGGCAAUCCUAUGAUCAGGAACGUUUAGGAUGUGUCUACGAAAGAAUGGUCUCAUGAAUCUAACUUCAUUAGAUUACAUUCUCCCAAUCACAUAUUCCUUGGACUUUAUUGUUUAAGCAUAUAACAUUUAUAUGAGACGGCUCAAACAAUAAUCUUUGCCCUUUAUAUGUAAAACUAGAUUAGUUUAACAUGUGAAAUGUCCGUAAAGUAUCAUCACAUGAUUGGCUUUAGGGCACAUUUCCAACAGGAUGACUAUGAACCUUUGUUUAGAUUCAACACAGUGUUGAAUCUCGGUCUAGGGAUGGUUAUUGAUUUUAGUUACGCGUUUAAUCACAUUAAGGCGUGUUGUCUUAGGGGCGUUGGACCCAACUACUUCAUUUUCAUGCAUAUCAAAUGAAGCAAGAAAGAAGUACUUCAAAGUAAAGGUGAGCUUAUGCUCAUUACAACAUUUGAACAAUUCAAAUUACUUUAAAGUAAAGAAGAGCUUAAGCUCUUUUACAACAUUUGAUCAAAUCAAAUUACAACCAAAAUCUAAUCUACACAUUCCCAUGGUUCAAACAAAUUUGAAACGGUCUUUCACAUAGCUCAAUUAUCGUAGGCUUAGGUUCAUAAUCACCCUUUAAUUAAUUAACACUUUAACUAAUUAAAUUGAAUGCAACAUUUUCAUUUGGUUUUUGUAUCCAUAAAAUUGAUUUAAAUGGAGCUAAAUAAAAUGAAAAUCCAAUUCUCAUUUAAAGAGACAAAACAAUUUUGUUCUCAACCUAAUUUGGGCCAAAAUGCAAUUACCACAACUUUUGGGCUAUAUUGCAAAAACACAAACUUUUGGGGUCACUUUGUAAAAACACAAAAGUCCACUACUUCAUGUAAUUACAACUAGAACCCAGAAAUUUCAAUAAAUUCAAAACUUCAUUAAAGGAGCAAAACAAUUUGUCCUUUAGCGUUUUAGGCCUUAACGUCAAAACGUAAACUUUAGGGUCAAAAUAUAAAUACACAAAAGUAUCAAAACUUUAUGUAAUUGCAUAAAAGCCCCAAAAAUACCCUAUUUUAAUAGGGUGGCCGGUUUUAGGGAGAAAAAGGAGUGGAGAUAAGUCCAAAAAAAUUUGGAAAUUUUUCAACUAAGUCAUAAAUCCAUGCAAGAUAUUUGUGACAUAAAUUCAUGCAAGUGGUGUGUGUGAAAGGAAAUUAAUCCUUUCACACCCACCAAUAUUUCUUACACCUUUUAAAUAAAUAUCUAACACAUUUAAAUAUAUAAGAUAAAUCAUAAAACAAACACUUUAUAAAAUUAUCCAAAACUUUGAAUCAAAACACCAAACCUUUUUGUUCUUGGCUAAAAUGUCAAGAACAAUGAAGAACAUUCAUGAAAAACCCAAAAAAUUUCCAUGAACAUUUUUCAUCCAAAAACAUCCCAAAACCACUCAAACUUUAGGGAAAUAACAUACAACCAUACUAGGGUACAUAGGGGUUCCAAAAGUCACUUGAAAACACUUUUAACAAGUCAAACAAGAACCCAAAAAACCACCCUUUGGAUUUGGCCGAAUUUUCCCAAAAACAUGGCACCAAAUUUUAGCUCCAAUAUUCAUGCUCAUAUGAACUACAUCUACAACAUUUGAGAUGGCAAAUUUUCUACCAAAAUUUAAAUUCAAAGAAACAAGAAUAAAGCUUGUAACAUAUUACAACUUUUAAAUCAAAACUAUGAACUACAAAACCCAAAAGGAUUCACCAACUACUAGACCUAGGCUCUGAUACCACUUGAAGGAAAUAUUUGUAAAACAUGUUCAUUUGAGCAACAUCAUAUAGCAUGCUAUUAACAAUUAAAAGGCGGAAUCAUGCUUGCAUGCACUUAAAAACAAAACAUUAACCAUGAAAUUCAAAGCCUAGUAGAUUGGUGAACCAAGACUCAACUCAAAUCAAAGUGAGUUGAGAAAUUUAUACCUUUGUAGAUUCCUCUUUGCUUAAGCAAAGGCUAAUCACCCAAAGAGAGGGCCUUCAUUGCUUGCAUCUUAGAUCCAUGGAUUUGGAUGGAAGAAUAGAUUCUCCAAGUUCCCAAAAUUGAGAACCUCUAAGUUUCCACACCAAGGAUGGAUUGAUGAAGAAAUGAGUGACCUAGAGUAAGCAAGAUUGCUAGUUAAUUUCCUCUAGGGUGGCCGGCCUCUUUAGAGAGAAAAGAGAGCUUUGUGUUCUCAUCUUUUCUCAAAAAGAAACCCUAAAUGAAUUUUUUUUGGCUAUAAAGUCAUAUUUAUACGAUUCAUUGGAGUGGCAAACUUGUAAAUAAGUCCAAAACCCACUCCAUCUCUAAAUGGCCGGCCAUAGGGAUUCAUUGGACUAUUUGGGCCUUUGUGAAUCAUUAUUCAUUAAGUUGUCAUACAACUUAAGUCAAUGGACUUGACGUUCGAAGCCCAUUGGGCCUUAAGGUCCAAAACUAUCCCGAGGUCUUUAACGAACUUAUUCGUUUGAUUAAUUAACAUAUUAAUUAAUCCUUGCCAUAAAUAAUUAAACCAUUUAAUUAUUCUUACUCAUCUCCGUUGUUUCUUCAAUCUUUACCUUACACGGUGUACGAUCCAUUAGGUUCCUUUUAGCGAGGCAGUGGGCGAUUAGAACCCUUUUAAACCGAUUGUGAAUUGAAACUUACUUUCAAUUCUCCCUUUAGUGAUUAUACACGUUUAGGGCUUCCACAAACCAUGAGUGACACCUAGCAACAUAUCAUGGUUACCCAAGCUAAUCAGAAGAGGUGGAGAACCUAUUCAGUUUAGGAUUACAAAUGCAAUACGGUCUUUCUCUAAUACAAUACUCUUGACCACAUUGUUUGGUUUGAUAGUUUAUUCAUGUCUACUAUCCAAUGUGAUUCGUGUGCUUAUAUGAUUACCUUGAAUGUGAUUUGGAACGACUUCCUAAAUCUCAUUCAUACUCUGAACAGAGAUUCUUAAUCAUAUCAUAGAGUAUUCUCCCUCAAACGGUUUGAAGGUUAGAGUUCCCUUGUUGCGCAUUCACUUGCCUCCAUAGCUAAGUGGUUUAACCCCAACUAUGCCGUGGACACCCUCCUGAUGGAGUGACUUUGACAUAAUCAAAGAUCAAGGACUUAACCACAAGACAACUAUGAUGCCUCGGGUCAAAGGACUACUUUGCAUUAUCCCAACCAUGAGUUCUCAUGUGACAUGAAUAUGAGAACUCUUCGUUGAUCGUGUUUAGUGAACUCAUUCUCUAUUGAGCACCUACAUACUUGUCUUGAUGUCACACACACCAAUGACUCUAGAUUAGUCACUCUCCCUGAGAGAAGACAUAACACGUACUGAUCUUAACGGACUGUCAAUGCCCAAUUGGCAAUCCUAUGAUCAGGAACGUUUAGGAUGUGUCUACGAAAGAAUGGUCUGAUGAAUCUAACUUCUUUAGAUUGCAUUCUACCAAUCACAUAUUCCUUGGACUUAUCGUUUAAACAUAUAACAUUUAUAUGAGACGACUCAAACAAUAAUCUUUGCCCUUUAUAUUUAAACUACAUUAGUUUAACUUUGUGAAAUGUCCGUAAAGUAUCAUCAUACGAUUGGUUUUAGGGCACAUUUCCAACAGACUAAUCUUCAACAUUUAAAACCAUUGUAUGUCACGGGCCAUAUUGAAGGCUACCCAAUCUCCAAGAUUUUCAUAGAUUGCGGAGCGGUAGGCAAUAUCAUGCCUGUAUCUGUCGAGAAAGCACUACGACGAUCCACCGACGAACUCAUUCCUUCAGGAAUCACCAUGCGUAGCUUUGUCGGUGACAAGUCUCAGACCAAAGGGGUACUUCCUCUAGAGGUCAACAUUGCAGGUCGCAAUCACAUGACCGUAUUUUUUAUCGUCGACUUAAAAACCGAAUACAAUGCUUUGCUCGGUAGGGAUUGGAUUCAUCAAACGAAUUGCAUUCCUUCGUCUUUAUACCAAGUCUUCAUUUUUUGGGAUGGUAAAUAGGUCAUGGUCCACCCAGCUGAUACUCAGCCGUUUGAAACCAACAUGAUUCAGGCCCGCUAUUAUGAUGAUCACGUCGGCUAUAUUACCCUACAAGGUUUUAAUGCAGAUGGACGGCCGACUUGGAUCUCAGUCCAGAAAGCCAUUGAGGUAGGCGCCAAGGCUAUCUACCAGGAUUCGACGAGACUCGGUUUGGCUAAUUUGCUCCCAACCACUAAUGACUGACAUCAACAACGAAAGGCGUUGGGUCGCGGUUUCAUCCACGAUGGAAUGCCUGCUGGCCCAUUGGUAUGCUAUUUCUAAGCACCCGUAUUCGGGCAUCAACUUAAUCGAAUUCCUGGCCGAGGAAGAUAACGGCCCAGUACUAUCGUUAGACAAAGUUCAGGCCGCACCGGUCGAACUCGAAGACAAUCGGCCCCAAGUUAAAGAUCUUCUAGAGGAAAUCAAUGUUGGGACAGCCGAUGAUCCUCGGCCCAUUAGACUUGAUGUUCGAAGCCCAUUGGGCCUUAAGGUCCAAAACUAUCCCGAGGUCUUUAACGAACUUAUUCGUUUGAUUAAUUAACAUAUUAAUUAAUCCUUGCCAUAAAUAAUUAAACCAUUUAAUUAUUCUUACUCAUCUCCGUUGUUUCUUCAAUCUUUACCUUACACGGUGUACGAUCCAUUAGGUUCCUUUUAGCGAGGCAGUGGGCGAUUAGAACUCUUUCAAACCGAUUGUGAAUUGAAACUUACUUUCAAUUCUCCCUUUAGUGAUUAUACACAUUUAGGGCUUCCACAAACCAUGAGUGACACCUAGCAGCAUAUCAUGGUUACCCAAGCUAAUCAGAAGAGAGUGGAGAAACCUAUUCAGUUUAGGAUUACAAAUGCAAUACGGUCUUUCUCUAAUACAAUACUCUUGACCACAUUGUUUGGUUUGAUAGUUUAUUCAUGUCUACUAUCCAAUGUGAUUCGUGUGCUUAUAUGAUUACCUAGAAUGUGAUUUGGAACGACUUCCUAAAUCUCAUUCAUACUCUGGCCAGAGAUUCUUAAUCAUAUCAUAAAGUAUUCUCCCCCAAACGGUUUGAAGGUUAGAGAUCCCUUGUUGCGCAUUCACUUGCCUCCAUGGCUAAGUGGCUUAACCCCGACGAUGCCGUGGACACCCGCGGAUGGGGUGACUUUGACAUAAUCAAAGAUCAAGUACCUAACCACAAGACAACUAUGAUGCUUCAGGUCAAAGGACUACUUUGCAUUAUCCUAACCAUGAGUUCUCAUGUGACAUGAAUAUGAGAACUCUUUGUUGAUCGUGUUCAGUGAACUCAUUCUCUAUUGAGCACAUACGUACUUGUCUUGAUGUCACACACACCAAUGACUCGAGACUAGUCACUCUCCCUAAGAGAAGACACAGCACGUACUGAUAUUAACGGACUGUCAAUGCCCAAUUGGCAAUCCUAUGAUUAGGAACAUUUAGGAUGUGUCUACGAAAGAAUGGUCUCAUGAAUCUAUCUUCUUUAGAUCACAUUCUCCCAAUCACAUAUUCCUUGGACUUAUAGUUUAAGCGUAUAACAUUUAUAUGAGACGGCUCAAACAAUAAUCUUUGCCCUUGAUAUUAAACUAGAU
RNAcentral lists this long non-coding RNA (5669 nucleotides) under Malus domestica (apple). Its description in RNAcentral is "long non-coding RNA (MDOM_LNC012711)". Lineage: Eukaryota; Viridiplantae; Streptophyta; Magnoliopsida; Rosales; Rosaceae. The record is from RNAcentral.